GACGUAGGGCGCGAGCGUUGUCCGGAUUUAUUGGGCGUAAAGAGCUCGUAGGCGGCUCGUUGCGUCGGCUGUGAAAACCCGCAGCUCAACUGUGGGCUUGCAGCCGAUACGGGCGGGCUGGGAUUCGGUAGGGGAGACUGGAAUUCCUGGUGUAGCGGUGAAAUGCGUAGAUAUCUGGAGGAACACCGGUGGCGAAGGCGGCAUUCUGGACCGAAACUGACGCUGAGGCGCGAAAGCCAGGGGAGCAAACGGG
This 253-nucleotide ribosomal RNA is filed under the name uncultured bacterium. Its description in RNAcentral is "partial 16S ribosomal RNA". It matches the Rfam family "Bacterial small subunit ribosomal RNA", at positions 524 to 776 of the family's 1533-position model. The record is from RNAcentral.